AAUAUUGGACAAUGGGCGAAAGCCUGAUACAGCCAUGCCGCGAGUGUGAAGAAGGUCUUCUGAUUGUAAAGCACUUUAAGUUGGGAGGAAGGGUUGUCGUUUAAUACGCUGCAAUUUUGACGUUACCAACAGAAUAAGCAUCGACUAACUUCGUGCCAUCAGCCGCGGUAAUACGAAUGGUGCAAGCGUUAAGCGGAAUUACUGGGCGUAACGCGCGCGUAGGUAGUUCGUUGAGUUGGAAGUGAAAGCCCCGGGCUUAACCUGGGAAUUGGUUUAAAAACUGACGAGCUAGAGUACGGUAGAGGGUAGUGGAAUUUCCUGUGUAGCGGUGAAAUGCGUAGGUAUAGGAAGGAACAUCAGUGGCGAAGGCGACUACCUGGACUGAUACUGACACUGAGGUGCGAAAGCGUGGGGGGCAAACAGG
RNAcentral lists this ribosomal RNA (424 nucleotides) under uncultured bacterium. RNAcentral's name for it is "partial 16S ribosomal RNA". It matches the Rfam family "Bacterial small subunit ribosomal RNA", at positions 360 to 776 of the family's 1533-position model. The record is from RNAcentral.